AGCACGCUCUCUUUCGAGAACCAGAGCUAACGAAGCCGACUGGAUUUUGGAGAAAAGGUUUUGAUGCAUUAAGGACUAGAAGAAAGAGUAUCUCUGGAUUUCUAGCUUCAUGAGAUACUAUUCGUCCCUAUUUUACUAGAGAUUAAAAUUUUUUUAUUUGAUUAAGAAUUAAUGCACAUGUGCUCCAAAUAAACUAAGGAUAAUAAAAAAUUUCUUUCACGCAGUA
Long non-coding RNA from Stegodyphus dumicola, 226 nucleotides. NCBI's taxonomy places the organism in Eukaryota, Metazoa, Arthropoda, Arachnida, Araneae, Eresidae. The record is from RefSeq and is a predicted model, not a curated record.